Molecule: ribosomal RNA, 467 nt
Filed under: uncultured bacterium
Lineage: Bacteria
Description: partial 16S ribosomal RNA
Rfam family: Bacterial small subunit ribosomal RNA
Source: RNAcentral
AAGAAAGAGGGCGGCGGGCGUAACACAUGCAAGUCGAACGGAAAGGCCCUGCUUUUGUGGGGUGCUCGAGUGGCGAACGGGUGAGUAACACGUGAGUAACCUGCCCUUGACUUUGGGAUAACUUCAGGAAACUGGGGCUAAUACCGGAUAGGAGCUCCUGCUGCAUGGUGGGGGUUGGAAAGUUUCGGCGGUUGGGGAUGGACUCGCGGCUUAUCAGCUUGUUGGUGGGGUAGUGGCUUACCAAGGCUUUGAGGGGUAGCCGGCCUGAGAGGGUGACCGGCCACAUUGGGACUGAGAUACGGCCCAGACUCCUACGGGAGGCAGCAGUGGGGAAUAUUGCACAAUGGGCGGAAGCCUGAUGCAGCAACGCCGCGUGCGGGAUGACGGCCUUCGGGUUGUAAACCGCUUUCGCCUGUGACGAAGCGUGAGUGACGGUAAUGGGUAAAGAAGCACCGGCUCCCUACGUU